UGGGGAAUUUUGGACAAUGGGCGCAAGCCUGAUCCAGCCAUGCCGCGUGAGUGAAGAAGGCCUUCGGGUUGUAAAGCUCUUUCGGCGGGGAAGAAAUGGCACGCUCUAACAUAGCGUGUUGAUGACGGUACCCGCAUAAGAAGCACCGGCUAACUACGUGCC
This 162-nucleotide ribosomal RNA is filed under the name uncultured bacterium. Its description in RNAcentral is "partial 16S ribosomal RNA". It matches the Rfam family "Bacterial small subunit ribosomal RNA", at positions 355 to 509 of the family's 1533-position model. The record is from RNAcentral.